This 322-nucleotide ribosomal RNA is filed under the name Filosa sp. RNAcentral describes it as "SSU rRNA". The stretch from base 55 to 322 matches the Rfam family "Eukaryotic small subunit ribosomal RNA", at positions 686 to 955 of the family's 1831-position model. The record is from RNAcentral. Lineage: Eukaryota; Cercozoa.
GAUUUCUGGUCUAGUGCGCCUGGCCCACGGCCGUUAGGUUUGUGAGUGCCGGUGCGCGCUUGCCAUCCUUUCUAGUCAGCAGCUCUGUCCUUUACUGGUCGGAGUUGUGGGCUAGAUCUAUUACUUUGAAAAAAUUAGAGUGUUUAAAGCAGGCUUGCGCUAUGAAUAUAUUAGCAUGGAAUAAUAAUUUAGGACUUUGUUUCUAUUUUGUUGGUUUCUAGGAAUGAAGUAAUGAUUGAUAGGGACAGUUGGGGGUGCUAGUAUUCAUCGGCCAGAGGUGAAAUUCUUGGAUUCGAUGAAGACUAACUUAUGCGAAAGCAUU